Long non-coding RNA from Saccostrea cuccullata (small rock oyster), 328 nucleotides. RefSeq lists it as uncharacterized. The transcript is spliced from 3 exons. NCBI's taxonomy places the organism in Eukaryota, Metazoa, Mollusca, Bivalvia, Ostreida, Ostreidae. The record is from RefSeq and is a predicted model, not a curated record.
CCUGUUGUAUUAAACUCCGAGGGAACCCCUCCCGAGGGCCCCUUCCCUAUUGGACACACCCACAACUAUACGUGUUCCGUGGGAUAUAUGGGGUUCUGGGAAUCCUAUACCACAUGCCAGGAUAAUGGAAAAUGGUCAGAAGUAAUCUUUCAGUGCAUAGAUAUUUGUAUUGUCCAUGGAAACAGACGGAUAGGGACUUGGUGUUAUUUCUUUACAACUGUCAAAGCAACGCGCACGGAUGCAAAUGCUCUUUGUACAAACAGAGGAAUGUAUCUUUCCCGCAUUGAAACCUCGAAAGAAUGGUACACCUUACAGCCGCAUAUCAGUA